GACGUAGGGCGCGAGCGUUGUCCGGAUUUAUUGGGCGUAAAGAGCUCGUAGGCGGCUUGUCGCGUCGACCGUGAAACCUCACAGCUCAACUGUGAGCCUGCGGUCGAUACGGGCAGGCUAGAGUUCGGUAGGGGAGACUGGAAUUCCUGGUGUAGCGGUGAAAUGCGCAGAUAUCAGGAAGAACACCUAUGGCGAAGGCAGCUCUCUGGGACGGUACUGACGCUGAGACGCGAAAGCGUGGGGAGCGAACAGG
RNAcentral lists this ribosomal RNA (253 nucleotides) under uncultured bacterium. RNAcentral describes it as "partial 16S ribosomal RNA". It matches the Rfam family "Bacterial small subunit ribosomal RNA", at positions 524 to 776 of the family's 1533-position model. The record is from RNAcentral.